GGUCGGGCCCGGUGGACGGGUGGCUCGUGAAUCUGGUCAGGGCUUGACCGCAGCAGCCAUAAGCGACGUUGUCCGGGCCGCCGGUGUCCUGGCCGUC
This 97-nucleotide signal recognition particle RNA is filed under the name Phycisphaerae bacterium. RNAcentral's name for it is "signal recognition particle sRNA small type". It matches the Rfam family "Bacterial small signal recognition particle RNA". Rfam says of the family: The signal recognition particle (SRP) is a universally conserved ribonucleoprotein involved in the co-translational targeting of proteins to membranes. Archaeal SRP consists of a 7S RNA and homologues of the eukaryotic SRP19 and SRP54 proteins. In most bacteria, the SRP consists of a 4.5S RNA and the Ffh protein (a homologue of the eukaryotic SRP54 protein). Lineage: Bacteria; Pseudomonadati; Planctomycetota; Phycisphaerae. The record is from RNAcentral. RNAcentral also lists the same sequence under 1 other name.